GCACAAGCGGUGAGGAUGUGGUUUAAUUCGACGCAACGCGAAGAACCUUACCUAGGCUUGACAUGCUGGCGAAAACCGCGGAAACACGGUCCUCCCGCAAGGGACGCUAGUACAGGUUGGUGCAUGGCUGUCGUCAGCUCGUGUCGUGAGAUGUUCGGUUAAGUCCGCUAACGAGCGCAACCCUCGUCGUAUGUUAUAUGUGUCAUACGAGACUGCCGGUAAAAGCCGGAGGAAGGUGAGGAUGAUGUCAAGUCAGCAUGACCUUUAUAUCCAGGGCUACACACACGCUACAAUGGUCUGUACAAUGGGUAGCCAAGCCGCGAGGCGGAGCCAAUCCUGAAAGCAGGCCUCAGUUCAGAUUGCAGUCUGCAACUCGACUGCAUGAAGCCGGAGUUGCUAGUAACCGCAGGUCAGCAAUACUGCGGUGAAUACGUUCCCGGGUCUU
Molecule: ribosomal RNA, 445 nt
Filed under: uncultured Anaerolineaceae bacterium
Lineage: Bacteria; Bacillati; Chloroflexota; Anaerolineae; Anaerolineales; Anaerolineaceae
Description: bacterial SSU rRNA
Rfam family: Bacterial small subunit ribosomal RNA
Source: RNAcentral